This 253-nucleotide ribosomal RNA is filed under the name uncultured bacterium. Its description in RNAcentral is "partial 16S ribosomal RNA". It matches the Rfam family "Bacterial small subunit ribosomal RNA", at positions 524 to 776 of the family's 1533-position model. The record is from RNAcentral.
GACGAACCGUGCGGACGUUGUUCGGAAUCACUGGGCAUAAAGGGCGCGUAGGCGGCUUGUCAAGUCAGGGGUGAAAUCCGGCAGCUUAACUGUCGAAGUGCCUUUGAUACUGAUGAGCUCGAGGGAGGUAGGGGUAUGCGGAACUUCCGGUGGAGCGGUGAAAUGCGUUGAUAUCGGAAGGAACGCCGGUGGCGAAAGCGGCGUACUGGACCUCUUCUGACGCUGAGGCGCGAAAGCUAGGGGAGCAAACGGG